GCCCCAGUGGCCUAAUGGAUAAGGCACUGGCCUCCUAAGCCAGGGAUUGAGGGUUCGAGUCCAUCUGGGGUG
Molecule: transfer RNA, 72 nt
Filed under: Astyanax mexicanus (Mexican tetra)
Lineage: Eukaryota; Metazoa; Chordata; Actinopteri; Characiformes; Acestrorhamphidae
Rfam family: tRNA
About the family: Transfer RNA (tRNA) molecules are approximately 80 nucleotides in length. Their secondary structure includes four short double-helical elements and three loops (D, anti-codon, and T loops). Further hydrogen bonds mediate the characteristic L-shaped molecular structure. tRNAs have two regions of fundamental functional importance: the anti-codon, which is responsible for specific mRNA codon recognition, and the 3' end, to which the tRNAs corresponding amino acid is attached (by aminoacyl-tRNA synthetases). tRNAs cope with the degeneracy of the genetic code in two manners: having more than one tRNA (with a specific anti-codon) for a particular amino acid; and 'wobble' base-pairing, i.e. permitting non-standard base-pairing at the 3rd anti-codon position.
Source: Rfam by way of RNAcentral